RNAcentral lists this ribosomal RNA (465 nucleotides) under Vreelandella stevensii. RNAcentral describes it as "partial 16S ribosomal RNA". It matches the Rfam family "Bacterial small subunit ribosomal RNA", at positions 338 to 795 of the family's 1533-position model. The record is from RNAcentral. Lineage: Bacteria; Pseudomonadati; Pseudomonadota; Gammaproteobacteria; Oceanospirillales; Halomonadaceae.
CCUACGGGGGGCUGCAGUGGGGAAUAUUGGACAAUGGGGGGAACCCUGAUCCAGCCAUGCCGCGUGUGUGAAGAAGGCCCUCGGGUUGUAAAGCACUUUCAGUGAGGAAGAACGCCUGGUGGUUAAUACCCAUCAGGAAAGACAUCACUCACAGAAGAAGCACCGGCUAACUCCGUGCCAGCAGCCGCGGUAAUACGGAGGGUGCGAGCGUUAAUCGGAAUUACUGGGCGUAAAGCGCGCGUAGGUGGCUUGAUAAGUCGGUUGUGAAAGCCCCGGGCUCAACCUGGGAACGGCAUCCGGAACUGUCAAGCUAGAGUGCAGGAGAGGAAGGUAGAAUUCCCGGUGUAGCGGUGAAAUGCGUAGAGAUCGGGAGGAAUACCAGUGGCGAAGGCGGCCUUCUGGACUGACACUGACACUGAGGUGCGAAAGCGUGGGUAGCAAACAGGAUUAGAUACCCUGGUAGUC